Molecule: transfer RNA, 73 nt
Filed under: Moorena sp. SIO2B7
Lineage: Bacteria; Bacillati; Cyanobacteriota; Cyanophyceae; Coleofasciculales; Coleofasciculaceae
Description: tRNA-Val
Rfam family: tRNA
About the family: Transfer RNA (tRNA) molecules are approximately 80 nucleotides in length. Their secondary structure includes four short double-helical elements and three loops (D, anti-codon, and T loops).
Source: RNAcentral
AGUCCUGUAACUCAGUUGGUAGAGUGUCUCUAUUACAAGGAGAAGUUCACAGGUUCAAGUUCUGUCAGGACUA